GUGCUUGUAGCUCAAUGGCAGAGCGCCUGACUGUGGAUCAGGAAGUUGCGGGUUCGAGCCCCGUCAGGCACCCCA
This 75-nucleotide transfer RNA is filed under the name Candidatus Viridilinea halotolerans. RNAcentral describes it as "tRNA-His". It matches the Rfam family "tRNA". From Rfam's summary of the family: Transfer RNA (tRNA) molecules are approximately 80 nucleotides in length. Their secondary structure includes four short double-helical elements and three loops (D, anti-codon, and T loops). The record is from RNAcentral. Lineage: Bacteria; Bacillati; Chloroflexota; Chloroflexia; Chloroflexales; Oscillochloridaceae.